AUUGAACGCUGGCGGCAGGCUUAACACAUGCAAGUCGAGCGGGGUGAUGGUGCUUGCACUAUCACUUAGCGGCGGACGGGUGAGUAAUGCUUAGGAAUCUGCCUAUUAGUGGGGGACAACAUCUCGAAAGGGAUGCUAAUACCGCAUACGUCCUACGGGAGAAAGCAGGGGAUCACUUGUGACCUUGCGCUAAUAGAUGAGCCUAAGUCGGAUUAGCUAGUUGGUGGGGUAAAGGCCUACCAAGGCGACGAUCUGUAGCGGGUCUGAGAGGAUGGUCCGCCAACAUGGGACUAGGACACGGCGCAGUCUCCUACGGGAGGCAGCAGUGGUGAAUAUUGGAAAAUGGGGGGAACACUGAUCCAGCCAUGCCGCGUGUGUGAAGAAGGCCUUAUGGUUGUAAAGCACUUUAAGCGAGGAGGAGGCUCUUUUGGUUAAUACCCAAGAUGAGUGGACGUUACUCGCAGAGUAAGCACCGGCUAACUCUGUGCCAGCAGCCGCGGUAA
This 503-nucleotide ribosomal RNA is filed under the name uncultured bacterium. RNAcentral describes it as "partial 16S ribosomal RNA". It matches the Rfam family "Bacterial small subunit ribosomal RNA", at positions 30 to 523 of the family's 1533-position model. The record is from RNAcentral.